This 137-nucleotide ribosomal RNA is filed under the name Crotophaga ani. Its description in RNAcentral is "partial 16S ribosomal RNA". Lineage: Eukaryota; Metazoa; Chordata; Aves; Cuculiformes; Crotophagidae. The record is from RNAcentral.
UAUGACAAACCUCUCCUAGUACGAAAGGACCGGAGAAGUGAGGCCAAUACCCCAAGCACGCCUCCCCGCAAGUGAUGACAACAACUAAAUCACUAUAAAGGACAUCAACCACAAACUAACAAUCCUAAAAAAGGACC